CAAUGCCUAUCGGUCUAUUUAUAAUGAUGAGUUUGAUUUGAAGAUCAAGGCCAUGAGAAAACUCCGAGUAAUCUAUUCCGACCCAGAUGCUACCGAUUGUUCUUCAGACGAAGAAGAAGACGAAUCGAGAAGAGACAAGAAAUCAAUUGGGUUAAAGCGUGUUAUUCAUCAGAUUGAUCUUGACGAAUCGAUUCCUUGUGAAAGCAAGAGAAGGCGGGUUAAGUGGACAACUCUAGUUAGGCACGUUCGAUUCAUCUGAAGAUACAAAAUCUGAGACUGUUUCGAAGCAAAAAGACGAGCCAAUUGAUUCUCCUUGUUCGGUGCUUGAAAGCGAGUGUUCAGAAGACUCUGGUGGGCUAGAAUUGAAGCAAUCUUCGCACAUUUCGAAUUGUGAAGAGUUCAAUUCAAGAUUAAUGGAGCUUGGUUCGUUGAUCAUCGACAACAAUGGGUUCCUCUUGGGCGAGUUUAGCCGCUUGGACGAUCUCUGGAUUUGCGACAUGAAAGAAUCAAUUGGAGUGUACUGGUUGGUUGUGGUGUAAGCAAGGGACCAACAACGAAAGAGGGGUUCACCACCACUAGAUCAAUCCCACUUUCCUCUGCUACUCUCCAUGCCUCUUUCUCUGCAAUAGUUUUUGCAUAUGCAUACCACAUCUGAUGCUCAAGCAAGAAUUUUACUCAACAUAUUAGUUCAAGUGAAAUUACAUUGUAGCGUUUGCAAUACUCCAGAUCACUCCAGUGAGAUUCAUUUAGAGGAGAGACUUGUUGGACAUCAUCACGGUAUCUUAUUGAAGAGCAGGAAGAUGUCAGUACAACCCGUCUCACACUGGUUGCUUUUGCGCAGGAGCUCAGAACAUUCAGUGUGCCCUUUAUACAUGGAUCAAUCAGAGUUUCCUGCAAUAGUAGGAAAGGUAUAAAUCUUAUUUUGCAUGUCUGUAAAUCUUAUUCUGCAUGUCAUGAACACUUUAGAAAUAAUUCAGUUUCAUGCUUGCCAAAUCAAAGGAAAAAGUGAGUUGUCUGACUUGGACAGUUAAAUUUAGUGGAGUUUGACUGCAAGUUUGUCUGCCCAUUCUAGUCACCGAGCUAAGCAUUUCUCAUGUUGCAGCUAAAGUUAGGUUAAUCAUAAUAACCACAUUAUGUGAGGUUAGGGUGUUGAGAUUUUGAUUAGGCAUUCACAGAAGCAGAAAGAUUGAAAUGACCUACACUUCUGUUGGAAGUAAUGGAAGAAAAAAUUAUUAGUGUUAUUCUUCUUUCAAUGAAGGAAUAUAUAGGUGAUAUAGAUACAGUAUCAUACAUGAUAUAGAUGUAGAGUAUCAGAGAUGAGCCAAUAAAUUUUGCUUCUUUGGAUGAAUGGGAAUUGCCCGUUAGAUAUGAAAUGCAUUGGGUUAAGUUUUGAAUAUAAAUUUAAAACAAUCAAUGUGUAUUUCUGUAUGAGGGUUCCGAGAU
Non-coding RNA from Camellia sinensis, 1443 nucleotides. NCBI's taxonomy places the organism in Eukaryota, Viridiplantae, Streptophyta, Magnoliopsida, Ericales, Theaceae. The record is from RefSeq and is a predicted model, not a curated record.